Molecule: transfer RNA, 71 nt
Filed under: Loxodonta africana (African savanna elephant)
Lineage: Eukaryota; Metazoa; Chordata; Mammalia; Proboscidea; Elephantidae
Rfam family: tRNA
About the family: Transfer RNA (tRNA) molecules are approximately 80 nucleotides in length. Their secondary structure includes four short double-helical elements and three loops (D, anti-codon, and T loops).
Source: Rfam by way of RNAcentral
GCAGUAGUGUUUCAGUGGUAGAAUUCUUACCUUCCAUGUGGGAGACCUGGGUUCCAUUCCCAGCCUAUGUA